Molecule: ribosomal RNA, 549 nt
Filed under: uncultured bacterium
Lineage: Bacteria
Description: bacterial SSU rRNA
Rfam family: Bacterial small subunit ribosomal RNA
Source: RNAcentral
GGGGAAUCUUCCGCAAUGGGCGAAAGCCUGACGGAGCAACGCCGCGUGAGUGAAGACGGCCUUCGGGUUGUAAAGCUCUGUUAUACGGGACGAAUAGUCUUAUGGUUAAUACCCAUGAGAAGUGACGGUACCGUAAGAGAAAGCCACGGCUAACUACGUGCCAGCAGCCGCAGUAAUACGUAGGUGGCAAGCGUUGUCCGGAAUUAUUGGGCGUAAAGGGCGCGCAGGCGGCUUCUUAAGUCUGUCUUAAAAGUUCGGGGCUUAACCCCGUGAUGGGAUGGAAACUGCCAAUCUAGAGUAUCGGAGAGGAAAGUGGAAUUCCUAGUGUAGCGGUGAAAUGCGUAGAUAUUAGGAAGAACACCAGUGGCGAAGGCGACUUUCUGGACGAAAACUGACGCUGAGGCGCGAAAGCCAGGGGAGCGAACGGGAUUAGAUACCCCGGUAGUCCUGGCCGUAAACGAUGGGUACUAGGUGUAGGAGGUAUCGACCCCUUCUGUGCCGGAGUUAACGCAAUAAGUACCCCGCCUGGGGAGUACGACCGCAAGGUUG